Molecule: long non-coding RNA, 3233 nt
Filed under: Mytilus galloprovincialis (Mediterranean mussel)
Lineage: Eukaryota; Metazoa; Mollusca; Bivalvia; Mytilida; Mytilidae
Source: RNAcentral
CCAAUGAGGGCCCAUCUGAGGAUGCGGACUUUUAUUUGAAUGUAAAAUAUGUAAGUGUGAAAGAAAUAAGGUAUAGGGAAUUCUUUUGUAACGUUAACUUGUGAGAAUUGGAAACUAUAAAAUACACUUAGAAACUCCAGAGAAUAUCAAAAUGUAUACGAAUGAAAAUUUGGGAAGAAAUAAGACUCAAAGCUUUAUAACAACAUUGUUAAUAACACAUCCCUACGAAAUGUGUUAUCGAAAGGUCCAAAAUAUCGUGAAAUGAAAACCAUUAUUUGGAUAUACAACUUUAAAAUUUUGAUGGAUUCAGGCGAGGAUUAUGCCAGGCAAUAGGCUAAGCGUGAGAAGGAAGACGUAGACACUCUUUCCGAGUGGAUUAAGGUAGUGAGGUCGUUGAUACAAAUCAGAAUUAAGAAACUGAAUGGGUCUAUCAAUGCCCAUGCUACGACAAUCUUUAAAGACCCUUAUAUUGCAUAACACUUAUCAUCUUAACUUCAUGACAAAUAUGUUGUUGUCCCCAAAGAUAAAAUCCCAAACAACAUCGUUUUUGUGUGUAAAACUCAUUACAUUAAGUGCUUGAUAAACAAAUUAGGUAUUGACAAUUCACUUGGAAACCGAACAUAUACCCUCACGACACUUACCAAAAAGAAAAUCCUGGAUAAUCAGAGGUCUGUUCUAUGUUCCUUUGGAAUUUCAAACAAAGAUGAUGAACUGGAUCUUCAAUCACUGUAUUGGAUACCUAAACUGCAUAAGUCUCCUUACAAACAACGGUAUAUUGCUGGGUCUUCCAAGUGCUCCACGAAACAUCUUUUUCAAUUAUUAACAUCUGUUUUAUCAGCAAUCAAAGGUGGCGAGACUCUGAUGUGGAUACUUAAAAAUUCCAAAGAUCUUUUAGAGUACAUACAAUCUAACUCUCUUUCAUCUUGUAAUAGUAUUAAAACAUUUGACUUUUUUACACUUUAUACAAGUAUUCCACAUUCCAAACUAAAAGACAAAUUGAAAGAGUUGGUAUUUGGCUUUGUUUCAUAAAAAAGAAUGGCCAACAAAGAUACAAGUAUCUUGUCUCAGGAAGGGAUAAAUCCUCCUUUGUAAAGGAUCACUCUGAUUCAAACAAAACAUUCUCUGAAACUGACUUUAUCAAAAUGCUUGAUUUCUUGAUUGACAACAUAUUUGUUACGUUCAACAGACUAUCGGUAUUCCAAUGGGAACGAAUUGUGCCCCUUUUCUUGCCGACAUGUUUCUUUAUUAUUAUGAGGCUGACUUCAUACAUGAACUUCUUAUGAAGAAAGAUAAGAAGUUAGCAAUAUCCUUUAACUCUACUUUGCACUAUAUAGAUGAUGUUCUUUCACUAAAUAAUUCACAAUUUGGUGACUAUGUCGAACGCAUCUAUCACAUUGAACUAGAGAUAAAGGAUACACCAGAUACAGUUAAGUCGGCCUCAUAUCUUGACUCACAUCUAGAAAUUGACAAUGAGGGUCGAUUGAAAACAAAACGUUACGACAAAAGAGAUGAUUUCAGCUUUCCAAUUGUGAACUUUCCAUUUCUAAGUAGCAACAUUCCAGCAGCACCUGCAUACGGUGUAUAUAUCUCCCAAUUGCUACGAUAUUCCCAUGCUUGCACUUCCUAUCAUGAUUUUCUUGAUAGAAGGUUGUUGCUAUUAAAUCAAGAGUUUCAAAUGGUGAAGUUGAAAUCAUCUCUCCGUAAAUUUUACAGACGCCAUCACAAGUUGGCUGACUCUUAUAUAUAACCACUUCACAAAUGAUAUCGGAUAUGUUCCUUACGUCGUAACUACAAUCCCCUUCCCUUUCAUGAAUGUGACCUACCGAACUAGACUAUUUACCGGAUUUGUUAUCUCAUAAGCAACACGACGGGUGCCACAUGUGGAGCAGGAUCUAUAAAAAAGAAGAUGUGGUAUUAAUGCCAAUGAGACAACCAUUCACAAAAGACCAAAAUGACACAGACAUUAACAACUAUAGGUCACCGUGCGGCCUUCAACAAUGAGCAAAGCCCAUACCGCAUAGUCAGCUAUAAAAGGACAAUAAGACAAUGUAAAACAAUUCAAACGAGAAAACUAACGGCCUUAUUUAUGUAAAAAAAUCAUGUCUGCUUACUCUUCCGGAGCACCUGAGAUCACCCUUAGUUUUUGGUGGGGUUCGUGUUGUUUAUUCUUUAGUUUUCUUUCUUGUGUCAUGUGUACUAUUGUUUGUCUGUUUGUCCUUUUCAUUUUUAGCCAUGGCGUUGUUCAGUUUAUUUUUCGAUUAUGAGUUUGACUGUACCUCUGGUAUCGUUUGUCCCUCUUUUAUAACAGGUCGAUACAUACAUAAUAGAACGAAAAACGACGAAUAAAUCAAAUCUACAUCAAACUUCUUAAAAUGAACAACACAAACAUCUUUAAAAAGCUGAUGGUGAUCGCCUGUGAAUUGGACCUUAUUGCUUCAGCUAACGUAUUAUUGAAUUGAAGUUUGUUUCUGAAACUAUUUGAGGAACAAAAUUAAAAAUCUAAAUUUUAAUAUGAAAACAAAAGUCCUACAUGAAAUAGCUUAUGUCGUAUGGGGUAAUCGAAUACGAUGAAAUAUGAAAAUGUAUAAUUUAAACUUAGUAUAAUGGUAUAUCAAAGAUUACUUUUACUCAAGGUGAAUAAGUGUUCAUGUAUACCAACGUUAAUGAACUUGUCAUAUUCCAUUUACAACUUAAACUAACAAGACUGACAGAUAAAACAAUUGAUAGAUGGAAAGAAUAGUUUUUCAGUUUAAACUGUACAUUUAUUUUGUUUUUAUUUUCAGACAUCAAGAAUUCCUUCAAUGAGAGAAAAAGAAUAGUAACAUACACCAAACAAAUUGUCAAACUAGUGCAUGUCUAAUGCAAUCAAUCUAAAACUAAAAUUUGAUGAAAUAUGAAAUAAUUACUGACUGUCGUAUGUUAGCUAUAUUAAACUAUCACAAAGACUAUUGUUUUACAGAAUGUUUUAAAAGAAUAAUUGGUAAACAUACACUGAAAUUAAUAAGUUCAUGGUCGUCAAUAAUGGGCCUUAAUAUAUUUGUUCGUGGAUGUUUUGUGUUGAAUGUUAUUCCUUCACAUUUAUCUUGUAUACUAUUUGUUAAUUUAAUCAGUAAAAAAAGUAGCAGAGAGAGGAACAUCAUCCGAGCUUGUUAAAAAGAAAUACUAUCUUCAAAAUAUCUUGGUAUAUUCUGAUUUCAGACAUAUGCGUAACAAGUAAUGACUGUAUGUACGAC